This 433-nucleotide ribosomal RNA is filed under the name uncultured bacterium. Its description in RNAcentral is "bacterial SSU rRNA". It matches the Rfam family "Bacterial small subunit ribosomal RNA", at positions 33 to 507 of the family's 1533-position model. The record is from RNAcentral.
CGACGCUGGCGGCAGGCUUAACACAUGCAAGUCGAGGCGGGCGUAGCAAUACGUCAGCGGCAGACGGGUGAGUAACGCGUGGGAACGUACCUUUUGGUUCGGAACAACACAGGGAAACUUGUGCUAAUACCGGAUAAGCCCUUACGGGGAAAGAUUUAUCGCCGAAAGAUCGGCCCGCGUCUGAUUAGCUAGUUGGUGAGGUAACGGCUCACCAAGGCGACGAUCAGUAGCUGGUCUGAGAGGAUGAUCAGCCACAUUGGGACUGAGACACGGCCCAAACUCCUACGGGAGGCAGCAGUGGGGAAUAUUGGACAAUGGGCGCAAGCCUGAUCCAGCCAUGCCGCGUGAGUGAUGAAGGCCCUAGGGUUGUAAAGCUCUUUUGUGCGGGAAGAUAAUGACGGUACCGCAAGAAUAAGCCCCGGCUAACUUCGUG